AUAGUAUCUACUCCCCUCUCUUGCUUUACUGCUCUUCUGCUGUCCACAAUCAAACUAAUGCCUCCUAAAGUCCAAUGCUCAUGUUUUCCUGCUUCUGUUUCAACUCAGCUUUCCAAUAUCCUUCAUUCAAGGCGUUCCCCAAAUCCUGCCCCAGUUAACUGGGAUUGAGAUCCGAAUUAGCUCUGGCUCUGCCCCACUGAAACAUGGCCCCUUAAUGACAGUUUCUUUCACCCCUUCAUCCAAAGGCAACCUUACAUGUUUAGUAACUACUGUGUGGGUUUCUUCACAGUUCAGUGUCCAAACCUUGCAGUGGUCAAUAGGAUGGAUAUUUCUCUGUUAGACUGGAAGUUCCAGGAGGGCAGGGAUUGUGUGUUGAACAAGUUUGGUAGAGUCUAAAAGGCAGGGCCAGCAGGUAGGUGCUGAGUAUGCUUUCCUUCUGUUUUUACCAACCACACGCAGGCUGUUUUCAUAUAAUCAGGAUGAAUCUAAUUUUAAAAUGAACAACCGUGUGUCCUUAGAUGAACCAGAAUAUACACUUACAAGGCGCUGCUGUCCUGCAUUAUAAAUAAGGGAAUAGUUUGUCCUGCAGAAAAGCUCUGCUGUUCUUUUCCCUUAAAACAGCAACAAACAAACCAAAAAACGUCUCCAUACGUAAGAACUGAGAUAGGUCUUCCUGUCUCCUCACCUGAGUUGGCAAGAAAUCAGGGCCCCCAAGUGGAUAUUCUCUGCAAAGAUGAAACCCAGCAAACAUCCACAAUCCAAGAAGAAAGCCUUCUGAGGAUUUAUGAAGAAGCAUCCUUAAGAAUGGCUGACUGUGAGAGUUCCCUCAUGGCUCACUGGAUUAAGGAUCCAGCGUUGUCAUUGCUGUGGUGUGGGUUCAAUCCCUGGCCUGGUAACUUCUGAGUUCCUUCAGGGCCACAGGAAAAGGCUGAGGCUCUUGGAAAGUGUCAGCUGUGCUGCUCUUUGCAGACCUAUUGCUGGUGUGUGGAACCCCUGGUGCGCUUUGCUACAUGGAGUCCCUCAAGCUCCUAGCAUUUUCUUGAGAUUUUUAGCAUCUCAGAAUUCCCAGUACAGGGAAGAGUGAUUUAACAUCACCCUGAGGGGAUUUACAGUUCACUUCGCUUUGUCUAGCAGAGUUUUGAAAAUAGCUGUUUCAUUUUGCUAUUCUGUGGUUUUAAACCCCACUGGUAAUUCAUUAAAGUUCAUUUGAACUAUGGCAGCUGUUGUUUUCAUCUUUGCCUCUUCUCAGCACUGGAAUAAGACCCCCCCUUCUUGGAGUAGAGUGUUACUUAUUUGAGUUCUUGUAGAAGUUUGACUUCAGGGGCAUUUGAGACUCACGGGGAUUGUGCCCACAUUCCCUGCCAGCCUUGAGCAAAAGAUGUGGCUUUGCCUGUUCCCUCGUUGGGAGACAGAGGAGUGUGGCUGAAGUUGGGUUUAUGGUGGUCUGAAAGAAGUGGGUUGAGAGCCUGUGGCUCAGAGUGCCAGUGAUUCUGCACUCAGGACCUGGAAAUGAGCAGAUCAGCACCUCUUAAGAGGUGGCUGCUGUGGACCCAGAGAAGUCUCACAUUAAAGGAACUUGAGGAUCAAGUGGUCUCCAGCCCAGUAUUCCUUCAAAAGACUCACCAUUAAAGUUGGGUUCCCCAGAAGCAGACCCUGAGAUGAGAAUUCAAGUGCAAGUUCUUUUAGGGGGAAGGUGAAGAAAACACCCCCAGGAGAGUGGUGCCUGAAGACUGCCUACAGAAGCAAUUCAUUUCCUGGCAUUUCAGCACUGCUUCUUGGCCAGCCAAGAACACACCUCCAGGCAAGAGAAUGCAGUUUUUGGCAGUCAGAAGACAAGCUGGUGGGCACUGAACUGGUGCUGAUGAGGAUGGGGUCGGGCACCAGGCAGCCUUUCUUGUCAGUGGCAUGAUACCCUGGAGGGCAGCCUGUAAUCCUCAUUUCUACCCAAGGACCACUGGCCUCUUUCGGACUUCUGCUGGGUUCUCACUCACCAUAGUCUGCCUUCAUCUGGAGAGGUGGAGCUGACCCCACCAGCAGAUGGUUCAGGAUCAGCUAGAGAGAGAUGUGGUAAAACAGGGUGCACAGCCAAGCCCCUGACCCCCUUCCUUAGCCUCAUCUCUCCUUGUUCUCUCUGAGACCUUGCUCAUUGUCUGUGAUGGCCUCCUGGUCCUGGUGGGUGCAUUUUCCUUCCUGAUAGCAUCUGCUCUGGGCUCUCCCAGGCUUUUUUGGUCCCCCAGGAGCAUGGUUUCUCAGCCUGGGCACUAUUGACAUUUGGGGGCAGAGAAUUCUUUGUGGUGGGGGCUGCCCUGUGCAUGACAGAAUGUUUAGCACCAUCCCUGCCCUCUACUCACUAGAAGCCAUUAGAACGCCACCCCUGAGUCAUGAUAAUCAGAAACAUCUCCAGAGUUCCUGUUGUGGCUCAGUUGGUUAAGAACCCGACUAGUACCCAUGAGGAUGCAGGUUCCAUCCCUGGCCUUGCUUAGUGUGUUAAAGAUCUGGCAUUGCCAUGAGCUGUAGUGUAGGUCUCAGAUGAGACUCUGAUCUGGUGUGGCUGGCAGCUGCAGCUAUGAUUCGACCCCUAGGCUGGGAACUUCCAUAUGCCACAGGUGCAACUGU
This 2616-nucleotide long non-coding RNA is filed under the name Sus scrofa (pig). RNAcentral describes it as "lncRNA (ENSSSCG00060007773.1)". Lineage: Eukaryota; Metazoa; Chordata; Mammalia; Artiodactyla; Suidae. The record is from RNAcentral.